UACGUAGGGUGCAAGCGUUGUCCGGAAUUAUUGGGCGUAAAGAGCUCGUAGGUGGCUUGUCACGUCGGGUGUGAAAUCCCAGGGCUUAACCCUGGGUCUGCAUUCGAUACGGGCUGGCUAGGGUCCUUCAGGGGAGACUGGAAUUCCUGGUGUAGCGGUGAAAUGCGCAGAUAUCAGGAAGAACACCCGUGGCGAAGGCGGCUCUCUGGGACGGUACUGACGCUGAGACGCGAAAGCGUGGGGAGCGAACAGG
This 253-nucleotide ribosomal RNA is filed under the name uncultured bacterium. RNAcentral describes it as "partial 16S ribosomal RNA". It matches the Rfam family "Bacterial small subunit ribosomal RNA", at positions 524 to 776 of the family's 1533-position model. The record is from RNAcentral.